ACAAGUAUAGUGUGAACCUAGUGUCAUGAAUCUAGCAAACACUUAUGGCAUUUGAGCAUAUAUAUUUUGUAUCAUUCAUGCAUGAUAGGGCUAAGUACAUGUGAACCUUGGUUGCUUUCAAUGACAUGUUUCUAACGUAGUUGAACAUAGAGAAUGGUAGAACCGUAAUGGACAUGUAUGUUAGGACCCUAUUAUUGUGUGAAUGUGAGAGUUGGACUUGGACAUUAGUAAACAAAGGUGACAUUGACAAUAAAGACAUUGAUUGGCAUAGAGAACAUAGUUGUUAAACAUGGUUUAACCAAGAGUGGCAUUGAGACAAGUAUGACUUAGAAAGUGGUAAGAAUAAAUAGGUAGAAACCUAUUAUGACUAUGGCAUU
Molecule: long non-coding RNA, 377 nt
Filed under: Ananas comosus (pineapple)
Lineage: Eukaryota; Viridiplantae; Streptophyta; Magnoliopsida; Poales; Bromeliaceae
Description: long non-coding RNA (ACOM_LNC039860)
Source: RNAcentral